CUGAGCCGUAUGAGGUAGGAAACUCUCAAGUACGGUUCUAAGGGAAGGAAUUGACUCGCCUAUUCCGAC
Ricinus communis (castor bean) is the source of this 69-nucleotide non-coding RNA. NCBI's taxonomy places the organism in Eukaryota, Viridiplantae, Streptophyta, Magnoliopsida, Malpighiales, Euphorbiaceae. The record is from Rfam.